GACGAACGCUGGCGGCGUGCCUAAUACAUGCAAGUAGGACGCAGUUGCGAACGGGUGAGUAACGCGUAGGUAACUACCUAUUAGAGGGGGAUAACUAUUGGAAACGAUAGCUAAUACCGCAUACUAGUAGAUGGACCUGCGUUGUAUUAGCUAGUAGGUAGGGUAAUGGCCUACCUAGGCAACGAUACAUAGCCGACCUGAGAGGGGGAGCGGCCAACGUGGGACUGAGAAACGGCCCGGACGCCUACGGGCGGUAGAAGUAGGGAAUCUUCGGAAAUGGGGGGAACCCUGACCGAGCAACGCCGCGUGAGUGAAGAGGGUUUUCGGAGCGUAAAGCUCUGUUGUUAAGGAAGCGGUACUUAACCAGAAAGGGACGGCUAACUACGUGCCAGCCUCCGCGGUAAUAC
RNAcentral lists this ribosomal RNA (407 nucleotides) under uncultured bacterium. Its description in RNAcentral is "partial 16S ribosomal RNA". It matches the Rfam family "Bacterial small subunit ribosomal RNA", at positions 28 to 526 of the family's 1533-position model. The record is from RNAcentral.